Molecule: long non-coding RNA, 215 nt
Filed under: Glycine max (soybean)
Lineage: Eukaryota; Viridiplantae; Streptophyta; Magnoliopsida; Fabales; Fabaceae
Description: long non-coding RNA (GMAX_LNC004395)
Source: RNAcentral
UAAUGGUUCGCCCUAUGCCGCCGGAGCCUUCGUAGGGAGGAAACCAUUUUUUUGGAGAGAAAAGAAUGCUUUUGCUGAUGGUGGUCGGGUACCGUCUGUCGUGAUGUGUUUCGUGAUUCAUUAUUUGAAGUGGCAUUUUGAGGUUUGUAUAUUGUUUUUCUGUGUUUGUUGAUUAAGUAUGUAAGAGUAUCUCUAAUACAAGAAAUUUAUUUAAG